GACGAACCGUCCGAACGUUAUUCGGUAUCACUGGGCUUAAAGAGUUCGUAGGCGGCUCCGUAGGUGAGGUGUGAAAUCCCUCGGCUUAACCGAGGAAUUGCGCUUCAAACCGUGGAGCUAGAGGAAGAUAGGGGUGAGCGGAACAGAUGGUGGAGCGGUGAAAUGCGUUGAUAUCAUCUGGAACACCGGUGGCGAAAGCGGCUCGCUGGAUCUUUUCUGACGCUGAGGAACGAAAGCUAGGGGAGCGAACGGGAUUAGAUACCCCGGUAGUCCUAGCCGUAAACGAUGAGCACUAGUCUGUGGGGACCCUCACAUCCUCUCGGACGUAGCGAAAGUGUUAAGUGCUCCGCCUGGGGAGUAUGGUCGCAAGGCUG
Molecule: ribosomal RNA, 374 nt
Filed under: uncultured prokaryote
Description: bacterial SSU rRNA
Rfam family: Bacterial small subunit ribosomal RNA
Source: RNAcentral